This 217-nucleotide ribosomal RNA is filed under the name Sarcocystis cruzi. Its description in RNAcentral is "partial small subunit ribosomal RNA". Lineage: Eukaryota; Apicomplexa; Conoidasida; Eucoccidiorida; Sarcocystidae. The record is from RNAcentral.
CGGCUCGRAGGCAGGUAUAGUGUAUAUUAGAUACAGAACCAAUACACCAUCUGUUAACAGCAGGUGGGGUAAAAAAGGGAAUCAUAGUAACCGAACGAAUCGCAUUAUGGUCAUUUUAUAUGGCUGGCGAUAGAUCAUUCGAGCUUCUGACCUAUCAGCUUUCGACGGUAGUGUAUUGGACUACCGUGGCAGUGACGGGCAACGGGGAAAUAGGGAU